RNAcentral lists this ribosomal RNA (394 nucleotides) under Streptomyces sp. 3501. RNAcentral's name for it is "bacterial SSU rRNA". It matches the Rfam family "Bacterial small subunit ribosomal RNA", at positions 67 to 477 of the family's 1533-position model. Lineage: Bacteria; Bacillati; Actinomycetota; Actinomycetes; Kitasatosporales; Streptomycetaceae. The record is from RNAcentral.
CGAUGAACCACUUCGGUGGGGAUUAGUGGCGAACGGGUGAGUAACACGUGGGCAAUCUGCCCUGCACUCUGGGACAAGCCCUGGAAACGGGGUCUAAUACCGGAUACUGAUCCUCGCGGGCAUCUGCGAGGUUUGAAAGCUCCGGCGGUGCAGGAUGAGCCCGCGGCCUAUCAGCUUGUUGGUGAGGUAAUGGCUCACCAAGGCGACGACGGGUAGCCGGCCUGAGAGGGCGACCGGCCACACUGGGACUGAGACACGGCCCAGACUCCUACGGGAGGCAGCAGUGGGGAAUAUUGCACAAUGGGCGAAAGCCUGAUGCAGCGACGCCGCGUGAGGGAUGACGGCCUUCGGGUUGUAAACCUCUUUCAGCAGGGAAGAAGCGAAAGUGACGGUA